This 495-nucleotide ribosomal RNA is filed under the name uncultured bacterium. RNAcentral's name for it is "bacterial SSU rRNA". It matches the Rfam family "Bacterial small subunit ribosomal RNA", at positions 28 to 521 of the family's 1533-position model. The record is from RNAcentral.
GAUGAACGCUGGCGGCGUGCUUAACACAUGCAAGUCGAACGAAGCACUAUAGCAGAUUUCCUUCGGGAAUGAAACUGUAUUGACUGAGUGGCGGACGGGUGAGUAACGCGUGGGUAACCUGCCUUGUACAGGGGGAUAACAGUUAGAAAUGGCUGCUAAUACCGCAUAAGCGCACAAGAUCGCAUGGUCUAGUGUGAAAAGCUCCGGCAGUAUGAGAUGGACCCGCGUCUGAUUAGCUAGUUGGUAAGGUAACGGCUUACCAAGGCGACGAUCAGUAGCCGGCCUGAGAGGGCGAUCGGCCACAUUGGGACUGAGACACGGCCCAAACUCCUACGGGAGGCAGCAGUGGGGAAUAUUGCACAAUGGGGGAAACCCUGAUGCAGCGACGCCGCGUGAAGGAAGAAGUAUUUCGGUACGUAAACUUCUAUCAGCAAGGAAGAAAAUGACGGUACUUGACUAAGAAGCCCCGGCUAACUACGUGCCAGCCGCCGCAGU